CACGCAGGCGGCUAGGCAAGUCUGACGUGAAAGCUCCCGGCUAAACUGGGAGAGGUCGUUGGAAACUGCUUGGCUUGAGGUAAUGAGAGGGGUGCGGAAUUCCCGGUGUAGUGGUGGAAUGCGUAGAUAUCGGGAGGAACACCAGUGGCGAAAGCGGCACCCUAGCAUUGACCUGACGCUCAUGUGCGAAAGCGUGGGGAGCGAACG
Molecule: ribosomal RNA, 207 nt
Filed under: uncultured bacterium
Lineage: Bacteria
Description: partial 16S ribosomal RNA
Rfam family: Bacterial small subunit ribosomal RNA
Source: RNAcentral